RNAcentral lists this non-coding RNA (41 nucleotides) under unclassified sequences. RNAcentral describes it as "L31-Actinobacteria ribosomal protein leader". It matches the Rfam family "L31-Actinobacteria ribosomal protein leader". The record is from RNAcentral.
GCGGUUCCGGUUCACGGGCGCGAGAGCCCGACCCGGCGACC